AUGCGGAGGGUGCAAGCGUUAAUCGGAAUUACUGGGCGUAAAGGGUUCGUAGGCGGUUAUUUAAGUCAGAUGUGAAAGCCCCGGGCUCAACCUGGGAAUUGCAUCUGAUACUGGGUAACUAGAGUUUAAGAGAGGAGUGUGGAAUUUCCGGUGUAGCGGUGAAAUGCAUAGAGAUCGGAAGGAACAUCAGUGGCGAAGGCGGCACUCUGGCUUAAAACUGACGCUGAGGAACGAAAGCGUGGGUAGCAAACAGGAUUAGAAACCCUAGUAGUCC
Molecule: ribosomal RNA, 274 nt
Filed under: uncultured bacterium
Lineage: Bacteria
Description: partial 16S ribosomal RNA
Rfam family: Bacterial small subunit ribosomal RNA
Source: RNAcentral